RNAcentral lists this transfer RNA (87 nucleotides) under Ktedonobacterales bacterium. RNAcentral's name for it is "tRNA-Leu". It matches the Rfam family "tRNA". Rfam says of the family: Transfer RNA (tRNA) molecules are approximately 80 nucleotides in length. Their secondary structure includes four short double-helical elements and three loops (D, anti-codon, and T loops). The record is from RNAcentral. Lineage: Bacteria; Bacillati; Chloroflexota; Ktedonobacteria; Ktedonobacterales.
GGGCGGUUGCUGAAAUUGGCAGACAGGGCGGACUUAGGAUCCGUUGGGGUAACACCCGUGCGAGUUCGAGUCUCGCACCGCCCACCA